AGCGCCAGGGAAUUACGAGCAAUGCUUAAAACCCAAAGGAUUUGACGGUAUCCCAUACACCUAGAGGAGCCUGUUCUAUAAUCGAUAACCCCCGCUAUACCCAACCACCCCUAGCCUAUCAGUCUGUAUACCUCCGUCGAAAGCCUACCAUGUGAAUGUUCUCAGUAAGCUUAAUGUCCUCAUCAGAACGUCAGGUCAAGGUGCAGCUCAUGGGAUGGAAAGCAAUGGGCUACAAUUUCUAAUUUAGAACAUACGAAAUAUUAGGUGAAACCCUAGUCAUGAAGGCGGAUUUAGCAGUAAAAAGAAAAUAGAGUGUUCUUUUUAACCUGGCCCUGGGAUGUGUACACACCGCCCGUCACCCUCUUCGACAAUUAUUAAUUCUGUUUCAUAACUCCCCUCCCCCACCCUAGAAGAGGCAAGUCGUAACAUGGUAAGUGUACUGGAAAGUGCACUUGGCUAAUCA
Molecule: ribosomal RNA, 463 nt
Filed under: Sanguirana sp. 'Negros-Panay'
Lineage: Eukaryota; Metazoa; Chordata; Amphibia; Anura; Ranidae
Description: partial 12S ribosomal RNA
Rfam family: Bacterial small subunit ribosomal RNA
Source: RNAcentral